AUUGAACGCUGGCGGCAGGCCUAACACAUGCAAGUCGAACGGACCCUUCGGGGUUAGUGGCGGACGGGUGAGUAACACGUGGGAACGUACCCUUAGGUUCGGAACAACUCAGGGAAACUUGAGCUAAUACAGAAUGUGCCCUUCGGGGGAAAGAUUUAGCGCCUUUGGAGCGGCCCGCGUCUGAUUAGCUAGUUGGUGAGGUAAAGGCUCACCAAGGCUACGAUCAGUAGCUGGUCUGAGAGGAUGAUCAGCCACACUGGGACUGAGACACGGCCCAGACUCCUACGGGAGGCAGCAGUGGGGAAUCUUGCGCAAUGGGCGAAAGCCUGACGCAGCCAUGCCGCGUGAAUGAUGAAGGUCUUAGGAUUGUAAAAUUCUUUCACCGGGGACGAUAAUGACGGUACCCGGAGAAGAAGCCCCGGCUAACUUCGUGCCAGCCGCCGCAGUAA
RNAcentral lists this ribosomal RNA (449 nucleotides) under uncultured bacterium. RNAcentral's name for it is "partial 16S ribosomal RNA". It matches the Rfam family "Bacterial small subunit ribosomal RNA", at positions 30 to 523 of the family's 1533-position model. The record is from RNAcentral.